Calidris pugnax (ruff) is the source of this 924-nucleotide long non-coding RNA. RefSeq lists it as uncharacterized. The transcript has 3 exons. The record is from RefSeq and is a predicted model, not a curated record. Lineage: Eukaryota; Metazoa; Chordata; Aves; Charadriiformes; Scolopacidae.
AACUGUGCUAAUAGAUCUCUCAGGUCUUACAUUUGAGGAAUUUUAUCCAUAGCAUUGCUGUCCCAUAAAGAGAAUGUAUUAGAGAAGGGCAGCAAAGGAGAGCUACCAGCCACCAGUAUAGUAGUUUCAACAUUGGCUCUGCGCAGCUCCCGUGUUGAGGAGAAUGAGAGGCAGCAGCUGGGAACAUGCCAAAAACUGAACUGAGGGAGCUCCAUCAUCUUGAUCUGCUGGCUCCCUAAACAGGCACAUGCCAUGCAGCACAGCUUCUGUCUCUUGCACAUACUCUCAACUGGAACACUGCAGAUCCAGCCACUGGCUUGUAGCCGUCCUAGGAGGGGUAAGGAACAAAUAUGUGCUUUUCCUAAGUUUUUCUGCUGCUUCUGGCCUUCACCGCUUUCGUCUGUUACCCUGCUUAAUUAUUAAAUACAUGUGUUUCAUCUGUGUUGCUCUGUCUAGAAAAAAUGCAGAAAAUUUAUACACACGGUACAAGUUUAUGUUUUUCUUUUACAUUUUUUAUGGCCAUCUGGGAUGCCCCAAACCUGUGGCACACAUACCAUAAACUAUUCAAGAUAAAGUACAUACUGGAAUUUUUAUUAAGACCAUUCAUUGCAAUAUUUGCAUAAUCCUUUUCCUGAAGUCAUUCAUUCAUGUUUCUGUUGACAGGGGAGUCAAGAUUGUUUUAUAACCAGCUCCUCAGUACAAGUGCGCUGCUUGACUUCAAGUAGAGAACAAGUAACCGCACCUGCUUAACUGUUAAGAAUGGGAUCACCCUUGUUCCUGUUGAUGCCUGCUCAUGAUCUGGACUCCAGGACUCAAGCAGCACUGAGGGACACAUCAGGCAACACAAAUGGUAAGAAGCUGGCUCAUCUUUCUUCAUCUCCUUGCUGCCUUCCCAGGAUUUGAAAGUGCGACAAAGUAUUUCAU